ACUGUUCCUAACAGCUAGCCCCUCCCCUAAAAACAACAAACACUAUUAAUAACCCCCUAGACACUAGACACCUAAGCAACAAACCAUUUUUCCUCCUAAGUAUGGGCGACAGAAAA
RNAcentral lists this ribosomal RNA (116 nucleotides) under Gymnogobius sp. HOKURIKU-JUZUKAKE-HAZE. Its description in RNAcentral is "partial 16S rRNA". Lineage: Eukaryota; Metazoa; Chordata; Actinopteri; Gobiiformes; Gobiidae. The record is from RNAcentral.